GGCGGACGGGUGAGUAAUAUAUAGGUAAUGUGCCCUAGAGAAGAGGAUAACAGUUGGAAACGACUGCUAAUACUCUAUAUGCCUUUAAGACAAAAGUCUGCAAGGGAAAUAUUUAUAGCUCUAGGAUCGGCCUGUACGGUAUCAGCUAGUUGGUGAGGUAAUGGCUCACCAAGGCAAUGACGCCUAACUGGUUUGAGAGGAUGAUCAGUCACACUGGAACUGAGACACGGUCCAGACUCCUACGGGAGGCAGCAGUGGGGAAUAUUGCACAAUGGGGGAAACCCUGAUGCAGCAACGCCGCGUGGAGGAUGACACAUUUCGGUGCGUAAACUCCUUUUAUAUAGGAAGAUAAUGACGGUACUAUAUGAAUAAGCGCCGGCUAACUCCGUGCCAGCAGCCGCGGUAAUACGGAGGGCGCAAGCGUUACUCGGAAUCACUGGGCGUAAAGAGCGUGUAGGCGGGUUAAUAAGUUUGAAGUGAAAUCCUAUGGCUCAACCAUAGAACUGCUUUGAAAACUGUUAACCUAGAAUAUGGGAGAGGUAGAUGGAAUUUCUGGUGUAGGGGUAAAAUCCGUAGAGAUCAGAAGGAAUACCGAUUGCGAAGGCGAUCUACUGGAACAUUAUUGACGCUGAGACGCGAAAGCGUGGGGAGCAAACAGGAUUAGAUACCCUGGUAGUCCACGCCCUAAACGAUGUACACUAGUUGUUGUGAGGCUAGACCUUGCAGUAAUGCAGUAAACACAUUAAGUG
Molecule: ribosomal RNA, 749 nt
Filed under: uncultured Arcobacter sp.
Lineage: Bacteria; Pseudomonadati; Campylobacterota; Epsilonproteobacteria; Campylobacterales; Arcobacteraceae
Description: bacterial SSU rRNA
Rfam family: Bacterial small subunit ribosomal RNA
Source: RNAcentral